RNAcentral lists this long non-coding RNA (231 nucleotides) under Citrus maxima (pomelo). RNAcentral's name for it is "long non-coding RNA (CMAX_LNC002723)". The record is from RNAcentral. Lineage: Eukaryota; Viridiplantae; Streptophyta; Magnoliopsida; Sapindales; Rutaceae.
AAUGAGGGGCAAGGGGAUUGAUCGAGAAAGAUCUCUUGUUCUUAUUAUAAGUUAUAAGAUCAUGUGAUUGGAUCCGCAGAUGUUUGGUAAAAAGAAUAAUCUUCUCCUUUGAGAAUAAUAAAAAAUGGAAAGUGUUCAAUUGGAACAUGAAAACGUGACUGAAUUGGCCCUAGUUACUCUUGGGGACGGAGUGGAAGAAGGGAGGAGAUUAUCGAAGGAGGAAAAGGAAGA